Molecule: ribosomal RNA, 391 nt
Filed under: uncultured Chrysophyceae
Lineage: Eukaryota; Chrysophyceae
Description: partial small subunit ribosomal RNA
Rfam family: Eukaryotic small subunit ribosomal RNA
Source: RNAcentral
GCUUGUCUCAAAGAUUAAGCCAUGCAUGUCUAAGUAUAAACACCUUUAUACUGUGAAACUGCGUACAGCUCAUUAAAUCAGUAAUAAUUUAUUUGAUGGUGACUUACUACAUGGAUAACCGUAGUAAUUCUAGAGCUAAUACAUGCAUAAAACCCUAACUUCUGGAAAGGGUGUAUUUAUUAGAUGGAAACCAAUGCGGGGUAACCCGGAAUAUGGUGAUUCAUAAUAACUUUCGGAUCGAUUUAUCGAUGCAUCAUUCAAGUUUCUGCCCUAUCAGCUUUGGAUGGUAGGGUAUUGGCCUACCAUGGCUUUAACGGGUAACGGAGAAUUAGGGUUCGAUUCCGGAGAGGGAGCCUGAGAAACGGCUACCACAUCCAAGGAAGGCAGCAGG